This 29-nucleotide small RNA is filed under the name Bombyx mori (domestic silkworm). RNAcentral's name for it is "ovarian small RNA-11903". Lineage: Eukaryota; Metazoa; Arthropoda; Insecta; Lepidoptera; Bombycidae. The record is from RNAcentral.
AGACUGUCCAUUGCGUUUCUUGUGAUCGC